AUUGAACGCUGGCGGAAUGCUUUACACAUGCAAGUCGAACGGCAGCACGGGUGCUUGCACCUGGUGGCGAGUGGCGAACGGGUGAGUAAUACAUCGGAACGUACCCUGACGUGGGGGAUAACGUAGCGAAAGUUACGCUAAUACCGCAUACGUCCUGAGGGAGAAAGCAGGGGAUCGUAAGACCUUGCGCGUUAGGAGCGGCCGAUGGCGGAUUAGCUAGUUGGUAGGGUAAAGGCCUACCAAGGCGACGAUCCGUAGCGGGUCUGAGAGGACGACCCGCCACACUGGAACUGAGACACGGUCCAGACUCCUACGGGAGGCAGCAGUGGGGAAUUUUGGACAAUGGGCGAAAGCCUGAUCCAGCCAUUCCGCGUGCAGGAUGAAGGCCUUCGGGUUGUAAACUGCUUUUGUACGGAACGAAAAGGUUUGGGCUAAUAAGCUGAGCUCAUGACGGUACCGUAAGAAUAAGCACCGGCUAACUACGUGCCAGCCGCCGCAGUAA
This 502-nucleotide ribosomal RNA is filed under the name uncultured bacterium. Its description in RNAcentral is "partial 16S ribosomal RNA". It matches the Rfam family "Bacterial small subunit ribosomal RNA", at positions 30 to 523 of the family's 1533-position model. The record is from RNAcentral.